GAUGAAGAACGUAGCGAAAUGCGAUAAGUAGUGUGAAUUGCAGAAUUCAGUGAAUCAUCGAAUCUUUGAACGCACAUUGCGCCCUUUGGUAUUCCUUAGGGCAUGCCUGUUCGAGCGUCAUUUAAACCUUCAAGCUCAGCUUGGUGUUGGGUGACUGUCCGCUUCACCGCGCACUCGCCUCAAAAUUAUUGGCGGCCGGUACAUUGGCUUCGAGCGCAGCAGAAACGCGAACUCGGGCCCGUCGUAUUGGCUCCCAGAAGCUAUCUUCACAAUUUUGACCUCGGAUCAGGUAGGGAUACCCGCUGAACUUAAGCAUAUCAAUAAGCGGAGGA
RNAcentral lists this unclassified non-coding RNA (332 nucleotides) under soil metagenome. RNAcentral's name for it is "partial contains 5.8S ribosomal RNA, internal transcribed spacer 2, and large subunit ribosomal RNA". The stretch from base 1 to 120 matches the Rfam family "5.8S ribosomal RNA", at positions 35 to 154 of the family's 154-position model. The record is from RNAcentral.